UGAGUACGAGAUGCUACGGCGUCGAAGCAGUCUAGGUCAUACUUCCAAGAAAAGCUUGCACUGUCAUAAACAAAGAAUGCCUGUACCAUAACCGACACAGGUGGGUAGGUAGAGUAUACUAAGGGGCGCGAGAUAACUCUCUCUAAGGAACUCGGCAAAAUGACUCCGUAACUUCGGGAGAAGGAGUGCCUUAUUUUUAAGGUUGCAAUAACAAGAUCCAAGCAACUGUUUACCAAAAACACAGGUCUCCGCUAAGUCGUAAGACGAUGUAUGGGGGCUGACGCCUGCCCAGCGCCAGAAGGUUAAAGAAGUUGGUUAGCAUUUGCGAAGCUGAUAACUGAAGCCCUGGUGAACGGCGGCCGUAACAAUAACGGUCCUAAGGUAGCGAAAUUCCUUGUCGGGUAAGUUCCGACCCGCACGAAAGGCGUAAUGAUUUGGAUACUGUCUCGGAGAGGGGCUCGGUGAAAUAGACUUGUCUGUGAAGAUGCGGACUACCUGCACCUGGACAGAAAGACCCUAUGAAGCUUUACUGUAACUUGAGAUUGAAAUUGGACUUUAUUUGCGCAGUAUAGGUGGGAGGCGUUGAGAAUAAUCUUGCGGGAUUAUCGGAGCCAUCAGUGAGAUACCACUCUUGUAAUGUUAGAUUUCUAACUUUGUAUCAUUAUCUGGUCAAAGAACAGUUUCAGGCGGGCAGUUUGACUGGGGCGGUCGCCUCCCAAAGGGUAACGGAGGCGCACAAAGGUUUCCUCUGAACGGGUAGAAAUCGUAUCUAGAGUGUAAAGGCAUAAGGAAGCUUGACUGUGAGACCUACAAGUCGAGCAGGGACGAAAGUCGGUCUUAGUGAUCUGACGGUGCUGAGUGGAAAGGCCGUCACUCAACGGAUAAAAGUUACUCUAAGGAUAACAGGCUGAUCUCCCCCAAGAGUUCACAUCGACGGGGAGGUUUGGCACCUCGAUGUCGGCUCAUCGCAUCCUGGGGCGGUAGUACGUCCCAAGGGUUGGGCUGUUCGCCCAUGAAAGCGGUACGCGAGCUGGGUUCAGAACGUCGUGAGACAGUUCGGUCCAUAUCCGGUGUAGGCGUUAGAAUAUUGAAAGGAGCCUUCUCUAGUACGAGAGGACCGAGAAGGACAUACCUUUGGUGUGCCAGUUAUCGUGCCAACGGUAAACGCUGGGUAGCUGUGUAUGGAGUGGAUAACCGCUGAAAGCAUCUAAGUGGGAAGCCCACCUUAAGAUAAGUAUUCUCAC
RNAcentral lists this ribosomal RNA (1244 nucleotides) under metagenome. RNAcentral's name for it is "bacterial LSU rRNA". It matches the Rfam family "Bacterial large subunit ribosomal RNA", at positions 1564 to 2817 of the family's 2925-position model. The record is from RNAcentral.